This 433-nucleotide ribosomal RNA is filed under the name uncultured bacterium. Its description in RNAcentral is "partial 16S ribosomal RNA". It matches the Rfam family "Bacterial small subunit ribosomal RNA", at positions 29 to 507 of the family's 1533-position model. The record is from RNAcentral.
AACGAACGCUGGCGGCAUGCCUAACACAUGCAAGUCGAACGAGACCUUCGGGUCUUGUGGCGCAUGGGUGCGUAACGCGUGGGAACCUUCCCUUAGGUUCGGAAUAACUCCCCGCAAGGGGUGCUAAUACCGGAUAAUGGCUACGGCCCAAUGAUUUAUCGCCUUUGGAUGGGUCCGCGUUGGAUUAGCUAGUUGGUAGGGUAAAAGCCUACCAAGGCGACGUUCCAUAGCUGGUCUGAGAGGAUGAUCAGCCACACUGGGACUGAGACACGGCCCAGACUCCUACGGGAGGCAGCAGUGGGGAAUAUUGGACGAUGGGCGAGAGCCUGAGCCAGCAAUGCCGCGUGAGUGAUGAAGGCCUUAGGGUUGUAAAGCUCUUUUAACCGGGAUGAUAAUGACAGUACCGGGAGAAUAAGCGCCGGCUAACUCCGUG